This 236-nucleotide long non-coding RNA is filed under the name Physcomitrium patens. RNAcentral's name for it is "long non-coding RNA (PPAT_LNC012074)". The record is from RNAcentral. Lineage: Eukaryota; Viridiplantae; Streptophyta; Bryopsida; Funariales; Funariaceae.
AAAUAGAAAUUCUUAAAGAAAUGAUUAAAAAUAUAAAUAUUAAAUAAAUCCUAAAUAAAUUUUAGAUAAAUCCUAACCAAAUUUUAAUAUAAUUCUAAUGAAAUCUUAAUUAAAAUUUAACCAAAUCCUAAUCAAAUCCUAAAUCCUAAUAAAAUUCUAAAUUCUUAUAAAAACCUAAUCAAAUUCUAAAUCCUUAUCAAAACCUAAUCAAAUCUUAAAUCCUAAUUAAACCUUAA